GCACUGAUAUCAAAUAAAGAUGGCUGUUGUGUCACUGCUGGCGGUAACACACUGAAUACACAUGAACUGUGCACCAAUUCCACUAUUUUUGCCUCACAUGACACCUCAGCGUGAACUCUUGCUCAUUGACAGCAGGAUCAGUCCUCAAACAACUCAGCGACGUGCAAGGCCUCCAGCUCGCCGCCGCAGAUCUUUGUUCUGCUUCAGUAUCAGACCCUGACUCACCGGAUCAAGGCAACGCUCCUCCGGGCAGAUAACCUCGACACGCUCGCGGGCACUUCAGCACCAGCAGAAUUCCAGGUGCUGGUCGCUCUGCAUCAUGAAGGGGCUGUGAUUAGCAGCAGAGAAACCAAAGGAGCCUCCUGGAAUUCUUCUUUCGUGUUCGACCUCCCUCCAGGAGACAUCAGUAAACUGCCCCUCAUGCUGGAGUUUGUAAUCGUGCAGCAUCAGGCACCUGCCCAACGUAAAGUCCUCGGUCGGGUCCAAAUCGGAGCAGGGGCAGCGGACGCCGGGCGAGCUCACUGGAGGGACGUUUGCAUCCUGCAUGUGGAGCAACCACGCUGGCACGUUGUCCAGCCAGAAGUUUUAUAGAAUUCUGUUUGAUGGGAUAACAUUUGUCACGUGAUCUCAAGAACCAUCCAAAACAAGCGUUCCAGCAUCGGCUAAUUGUUUAUGGGUGAAGAUUUUGCUGUGGAUGAUGGAGGAUCAGAUCUUUACAAUCAUCUUGGUGACAUCAUAUAGCUGCUGCUGCUGCUGGAUGCUGGAGCAGUCCUGCCUCUGGCAUCUUGUAAAUAUAAUAUGAACCAUAUGAUGUCAUAUAGAUUUAAUAAAACAUGUUUCUGCCUCGUAAUUUGGUGAUUUUUUUGUGGUACCUCAUAAAUUAAGGUAGGGGAUUUCACCCCAAUAUUUUCAAACGUGACAGUUUGUUUGUUGUCCUCAGGUCCUCUUCUUCACGCUCCUCAGAGCUACAAACAUGCACAAGCUCAGCCCGGAAUAAUCCAUCUGGAAAGUGGGAGGGGGUGUCUUUCUGCUGCGGGUCAGGUUGAUCUGAACAGCUAGGAGGGUUUGGAACGUUGUUACACUCAUCUGGUUGAUCUUCUGUCACUGAGGGACAAUCCUGGAUUGGCUGAAUAAUUCUUAAUCUGUCUGAAAACAGGAAAUAAUGACACAUUUUAAAAUGCCAGACAUUUCGAGUUUUCACACCAAUGUAGGACCAUGUGGAAAUAAAAGCGCUCAGCUACCUAUAAAUACAGUACUUGCUUGUUGUGUCCUUAAAAUGAUAUGGAAAAUAUAGGGAUCAAUCAAGUCCCAGUAUAAACAGAUCACAGUUGAUCACGGCAUAUAUCCACUAACCAUUUUCGCAUGGUUCAGUCCCAUUUGUUGCCUUCAGGCCACACGUUUCUGCAGACAUGGCUGGCAUCUGUCAGAGAAAAGCAUGGAUUUCUAGCCCUUGUUCCUAACAAUGUCUAUUGCAUCGCUACAGAAUAUUUCUCCCGCUUCAUUAAAUCGCAGGAUUAGUCGAGUCAGCUCCUCUCUAAUGGUGCAGUCAGAUGUUUUCCAGUCGAGCGGUUC
Molecule: long non-coding RNA, 1572 nt
Organism: Takifugu rubripes (torafugu)
Lineage: Eukaryota; Metazoa; Chordata; Actinopteri; Tetraodontiformes; Tetraodontidae
Source: Ensembl